ACACGUAGGUGGCGAGCGUUGUUCGGAUUUAUUGGGCGUAAAGGGCGCGUAGGCGGAGGCUCAAGCUUGGUGUAAAAUACCCCGGCUCAACUGGGGAGAUGCGCUGAGAACUGAGCCACUAGAGUCCAGGAGGGGGAGCCGGAAUUCCAGGUGUAGGGGUGAAAUCUGUAGAUAUCUGGAAGAACACCGGUGGCGAAGGCGGGCUCCUGGCCAUGGACUGACGCUGAGGCGCGAAAGUGUGGGGAGCGAACAGGAUUAGAUACCCUGGUAGUCCACACCGUAAACGAUGUACACUAGGUGUCCGGGAGAAAUCCUGGGUACCGGAGCCAACGCAUUAAGUGUACCGCCUGGGGAGUAUGCCCGCAAGGGUGAAACUCAAAUGAAUUGACGGGG
This 393-nucleotide ribosomal RNA is filed under the name uncultured bacterium. RNAcentral describes it as "partial 16S ribosomal RNA". It matches the Rfam family "Bacterial small subunit ribosomal RNA", at positions 523 to 918 of the family's 1533-position model. The record is from RNAcentral.